AAGUCGUAACAAGGUUUCCGUAGGUGAACCUGCGGAAGGAUCAUUAUGAAUUUGUGUGCCUGUUUUGCCGCAAGGCGGAACACCACUUUUUCUGUGAACUGGAUCCGGUUGGCCUCUCUGUGUUUUUUGUUUCUGAAUUUUUUUGUUUUGCUUUUGUUGUGGAUGGCUGGGCAAGUGAGCUUGGCUGAAAGCAGCAAGAGUGUGAGCAGAGAGAGAAGGAAGCGGGAACCGUGGGGGGGCUAAUCGGGUUGCCAUUGAAAUUUGUUUUCUGUUGUGUUUUGUUCUCUCAAGUUUUCUUAACUGAAAAAAAAAGACAACUUUCAGCAAUGGAUCUCUUGGCUCUU
Molecule: unclassified non-coding RNA, 344 nt
Filed under: fungal sp.
Lineage: Eukaryota; Fungi
Description: partial internal transcribed spacer region
Rfam family: Eukaryotic small subunit ribosomal RNA (bases 1-46)
Source: RNAcentral